This 209-nucleotide long non-coding RNA is filed under the name Mytilus galloprovincialis (Mediterranean mussel). Lineage: Eukaryota; Metazoa; Mollusca; Bivalvia; Mytilida; Mytilidae. The record is from RNAcentral.
GCAUACGAUACAGUUACAGGGGAGGUAAUGACGUUGCUAACGUAAAAUGUUAUUUUCGCGACGUCAAACUAUGACAUAUCGGGAAAAAAUGCAGUUUUCGACUGAUUUUUAUCAUUCAAACUGAUUUGAUUUGAAAACGAGUGCAUGGGCCCCUAUUUUUUAAAACUACAUUUUGUUUCAUUUUGCAGGAAGAUUAUGUGGACCAAAUU